RNAcentral lists this long non-coding RNA (785 nucleotides) under Homo sapiens (human). Its description in RNAcentral is "non-protein coding lnc-KRTCAP2-1:6". The record is from RNAcentral. Lineage: Eukaryota; Metazoa; Chordata; Mammalia; Primates; Hominidae.
ACGGGCGGGGCAUGAUGGGUAACAGGACCGGUGGGGUCCCCAGGAAGUCCUAGAGGGGGUCGGGGUUUGGGUGGACAAGCUUUCCUCGUCCUCUCCCGACAGAGCUGACGUGUCCUGGGUUCCACCGGGAGCGGGCAUUUCCACCGGACGGGAGGGUUCGGGGUGUCCGGGGCUGGGGAAUACGUAGGGGUUGCCGCGCGGUGUGGGGAGUUGGGGCGUGUGGCUGCAGUCCCGGGAGUUCUUGGAGGGGGUCGGCCCACCGAGCUUCCGGACCGGCUGAUCUGCCCGUAGCUUGCCGGAGGGAGGGCGGAGCCUGACUCUCCGUCCCUUCUCCCAUCCCCUCCAGUGGUGGGUACGGGCACCUCGCUGGCGCUCUCCUCCCUCCUGUCCCUGCUGCUCUUUGCUGGGAUGCAGAUGUACAGCCGUCAGCUGGCCUCCACCGAGUGGCUCACCAUCCAGGGCGGCCUGCUUGGUUCGGGUCUCUUCGUGUUCUCGCUCACUGCCUUCAAUAAUCUGGAGAAUCUUGUCUUUGGCAAAGGAUUCCAAGCAAAGAUCUUCCCUGAGAUUCUCCUGUGCCUCCUGUUGGCUCUCUUUGCAUCUGGCCUCAUCCACCGAGUCUGUGUCACCACCUGCUUCAUCUUCUCCAUGGUUGGUCUGUACUACAUCAACAAGAUCUCCUCCACCCUGUACCAGGCAGCAGCUCCAGUCCUCACACCAGCCAAGGUCACAGGCAAGAGCAAGAAGAGAAACUGACCCUGAAUGUUCAAUAAAGUUGAUUCUUUGUA